CAAUGCAGUUUUGUCCUUUACAAGAAAAUCUGCUCUGCGUUGAGAAGUAAUUCUUUAUUACAUGCACUUUGUAAUAUUAAUUCUCUUUUGGACUGUUAUUUGGGUAGAAAGGGCAGUAACAUUUGAGUUACUUAAUUUGUGGAGUUGUCAUAGGCGGUUGUUAAAAUGUAACUACUAAGUUUAUAAACUGGAUACUUAAUUAUCUCUUAGUGUUCAACUAUUAGUGUGGUAUAUUUUUCAGUGCC
Molecule: long non-coding RNA, 245 nt
Filed under: Gallus gallus (chicken)
Lineage: Eukaryota; Metazoa; Chordata; Aves; Galliformes; Phasianidae
Source: RNAcentral